AUUCAUAAUAUUUAACAGGGUUGUACAUUUCAGCACAGAUGCAAAUACACCAUAUUUUAACAUUAAAUCACAUUCAUAAUAUUUAAUACAUGUUCAGUAUACAAUGCAUAUAUACAAACAAUUGACUCUUCUAUUCAUCACAAAAUGUCAUCCAUGCGUACAUUCAUUCAACAUACAUAAAGAUUCAUUUAUUUUCUUCGCUCAACAUACAAGAUAAGUUGUUACAAAAUGUGAUGGCUAAGAUCCUAACAGACCAAUUGUUUGAUCACUUGACUACUACUAAAUAUUAUGGAAGAGACCAAGUCUUUGAUCACCAAGCCAACAUCAAGUUCUGUAUGAACAAAAGGUGUCAACCAUGUUAUGAACAAAAGCGAUCAUGGAACAUCUUAGAUCAACUUGUGGACUUGUUAUUUCCUGCCAUUUGUCCCUGCAAAAGAACUUAUUGCCUUGUUGGAUUAAAGCACCAAAUGCUCAUAAAAGGAAAAACCUUUACACACACUAGAGAGUAAUAAAUCAAUCAGGGCAUGUCACCUUUGAAGAAACCAAUGGAGAGCUCUCCAGGUAUAGUAACAGCAUGAAAGGUAACUAAUGUCUAAAGCAAUAAGGUACAUGCUUGGUCAAGCUUGAUGUAAAGUAUCCAGUAGUUUGUGCAUAAGGCAAAACAAAUAUGGAUGUAAGCUGGCACAUAUAUCGGCAUAAAACAUUAACAUGACAAAUUAGUUUGUGAUCUAAAUAAGUAGCGUAGGAUCCGAAAUAUAUACCAUGAUAUGUUAGCAAUGCAAAUAAUACAGUUCUCAGAAUUACAAUCAGCCAACAAUUUAAGUAUGGUAAUAAUACAAUGGCGGCCCUACUUUGGACGGUUAAAUAUGUAAAUAGCAAGCAAACAUAAAAGGAAUAGGGAAAGUAUCAAUGCAUUGUUUCUUUUGCAAUAUCAUGUCCCAAUAGAGAUACUAAUUUUUGGACAGCAAGUUUGAGGUGGUCGAUGCUCUCAAACUACCCAGUAAAAAAAUACUCUCUGGAAAGCUUCAGAAGUACACUACAACUUCUAUCUGGAGACUAACUCAAAAUUCAGCGUGUAUGAAACCGAUAUUUAACCCAAAUCUUACUACACCAUAACUAUUACGAGGUGAUUUAACUGCCAUAUGAAAUUGCAAUCAACACUGGAGAUGAACAUCUCCUAGCAAGCAGCAAAAUUGACAUACCAACGGAUACAAACAGAUGUUGCAUCCUAAUCUACCCACUAUGGCCAUAAUGUUGUAGUGGCUAAACAUACUAGUACUUGUGUACAUACUUCUGUUCUUAGUGUAACUAGAGAAUAUAGUAGGAUUUACACAAAGAGGAUGUGGUCUGGUUGAAACAACUUUUAAACUGCCAGAAUAUCUUAUUUAGUUAACUAGAAAAUUUUCAAGUUGUUAACCUUAGCAUGUUUUCCUAUCAGCAAGUUCAGUAGCUCAACUGAACAAUUAUGUUCCAACUGAGAAUAUUUGCAUAUAUAGUAGCUCCCUUUGUACCACUUAACAUAUAAGGUGUAUUAGAUUAGAAACAAAUUACCUUAUCUUUAUGGCUAGAUCUUUAUGUAGCCACAUUGGAAAAUAAAGUUCAUCUUUUUCCUCUGGUGACUACACCGGGUAGUUUUGCUAGCAUUAGUUCCAUACUUCUAUGAUAGUUGUUCCAGAAGUGCACAAUGAUACUUUACUAGCCUGAAAAGAAACAACACUUAAUUCACUCACAUAGUACUGAACGCAGAAUCUAAUUGGCAGCAAGCAUUCAACAUCAAUAUCAAAGUACCAUGUAGACUAUUAACAUAAGCUGAAUUUAGCUGCUAUAGGUUCCGCAUACUAACAAUCAAUUAAGUCGUACAAACUUCACAUGUGGCUCUUUUGGUUAGUACACUUUGCUGCAAAAGGUGUGGUUGCUUUGAGAAGUAACAGAGGGGCCUUAACACUACCAACCAUGAAAUAAACAUUUCGUCUAGAAAUAAUGAAUGAAGACUUCUUGUUUUUUUCUAUUACUGAUCUAAUUGUUGAUAGAAAUACUGUAUGCUAAUAUAAUUACGCAACCAUAUGAUUCAGGUGCUUAUAAUGCAUAAUGCAAUUAAUUAAAUGCAUGUUACUUUUCAGUACGUAAUUGAACCAAAAUUCCUAGUAUAUCCCUAGAGAGAACCACUCAUUUUAGUCUAGUGGCCUGCACUUCCUUGGGAUUGGAUCCAAUUCAUGAUAUGUGGCACAUUUUGUGUUUUUGGUAGGAAAGCAGAAGAGAGGGCAUUGUUCUUCUAAAUGGAGGAAAGUAGUGACGCCUCACCCUUGCAAGUCUUGGCAUGGCCAACCAAUCUGUGUAGUGUUCCAUCCAUCUUAGGUGAAUUCUUUUUGAGCAAAAUACAGAGUAUAAUUUUCUAUUUGAACAAUAUACGGAGUACACUACAGGCUACAGUCUGAACAUGGAUGAGUACUGAACUAGCAAAUGUGAUGUUCGCACUGAUGGUUUAUGCAAAACCAUACAAGUGAAGGUGGUGGGAUCACAUGCAAAACAGAGAUAGAAACAAUACAUACCUCAAGCAUUACCACUCAGCAUGGUUGGGGAUCCUUGCAGCCUGCGAAUGGAAAUAGGAACAUUGAGACACAAUCAUUUCAAAGGUAGUAGUAAUUAGUAAAUACUAAAACCCUGAAACUGAAUAUUGGAUAUAUAUGUGAUAAGAGAAGGGAGAGGCCUGGGAGGUUGAGCUCAGCUACAAGCAUACAGUCCACGAGCUUCAGAACAUCCGCAACAAUAGUCAAACCUCAUUAAAAGUUGAAAUCAGUUGCAAAGUUCUACUUAUGAGAAGAAAGCUAGCCUGAACUAAAAACAGUAGCAUGUUUCUAGACAGGCACGACACCCAUGGAAGAGCAAGUGAAAUAUAAUGCAUCUUGUUGAAUCCACAAAACACCCAGGCCAAGGUCAGGCGCACAAAUCUACUAAUCGUCAUGCAGUCUUAUAGUAACCAUUCUCUCGAACAACACGUGUUGUAGAACACAUCCCAAAUCAACAGCAACAAAAACAACAUUAAAAUAACUUGACGGUGCUAAUCGAGAACAAAGAGUUGCAAUAUAGCUAUGUGAAUAAACAAUGUAGAUGGGACUAGAAGAAUUACAUAAACAUAUAAUAACAUAGCACAUAACACUGGUUAGUAAAAUAUAUAUACUUCAGUCUGUCCAGAAAUCAACUAAAUACUUAAUUUACCCUAAUUAUAACAUGAGAGAUGGAUGGUUAGCACUAUGAAAUCUCCAAUCUCAAACGAACUAACAUGAUCUUGUUUAGUUCAUCGUUGAGCCAACAAGAUUUAAUGGGCAAUCACAUUCACGGGGAAACAAGAAAUAACAUAUGAAAUGGAAAAGAAAAAAGGGAUCUAUUUUCAUGCUUACCUACAGGGGCUGGAUUUGGGGGCGAAGCAAGACAAAGGGAAGGAGAACUUCUUGAUGUAGAGGGCUAGGUGGCUCCUUGGUUGCAGACAGCAUCACCCUGCGUUGGAUCGAAGCUUCAGGUGGCACUACUGGUAGUCAGAGAAGCAGAGGAGUGACCAUAUCGGCCUGAAUCUUACCUACAGCGCCCUGGAUCUUGAGGAAGUACGGCGGGGUUGUUCGGCGAUGGUCGACUCCACGCUGGCGGUUGGCAACGCGGAUCCUUGGUGGCGGUCGACUCGACUCCUUGGCUGCGGGCAGUGGAGGGGCUCCUUUGCUGCGGACGAUGAGGCAUAACCUUGGGAUUGGACCGUGGGGAAGCACCACAUGGUAGAAGGAGGCUUCGGGAGGUGCCGCCGUUGAUGGGACAGGAGGCGGCACGAGCAAAUCGACAGGCAGGUCAGGGGACGGCGGCGGCGGCAGGCGACCUAGGUUUAGGUUGAUGUGUGGCGUGGGAAAGAGAUAAGAUGGGGUGGGGGAAAGAGGGGUCUGGGAGGCUUAGCCAAAAUUUUAGUCUUUG
Molecule: long non-coding RNA, 3954 nt
Filed under: Triticum aestivum (bread wheat)
Lineage: Eukaryota; Viridiplantae; Streptophyta; Magnoliopsida; Poales; Poaceae
Description: long non-coding RNA (TAES_LNC007341)
Source: RNAcentral